UACAGAGGGGGCAAGCGUUGUUCGGAAUUACUGGGCGUAAAGGGCGCGUAGGCGGCCCGCUAAGUCGAACGUGAAAUCCCCGAGCUCAACUCGGGAACUGCGUCCGAUACUGGCGGGCUUGAAUCCGGGAGAGGGAUGCGGAAUUCCAGGUGUAGCGGUGAAAUGCGUAGAUAUCUGGAGGAACACCGGUGGCGAAGGCGGCAUCCUGGACCGAGAUUGACGCUGAUGCGCGAAAGCCAGGGGAGCAAACGGG
RNAcentral lists this ribosomal RNA (253 nucleotides) under uncultured bacterium. RNAcentral describes it as "partial 16S ribosomal RNA". It matches the Rfam family "Bacterial small subunit ribosomal RNA", at positions 524 to 776 of the family's 1533-position model. The record is from RNAcentral.